GCCCCCAUCGUCUAGCGGCCCAGGACGAAGCCCUCUCAAGGCUUAAACAGGGGUUCGAGUCCCCUUGGGGGCAC
RNAcentral lists this transfer RNA (74 nucleotides) under Anaerolineales bacterium. RNAcentral describes it as "tRNA-Glu". It matches the Rfam family "tRNA". From Rfam's summary of the family: Transfer RNA (tRNA) molecules are approximately 80 nucleotides in length. Their secondary structure includes four short double-helical elements and three loops (D, anti-codon, and T loops). Further hydrogen bonds mediate the characteristic L-shaped molecular structure. tRNAs have two regions of fundamental functional importance: the anti-codon, which is responsible for specific mRNA codon recognition, and the 3' end, to which the tRNAs corresponding amino acid is attached (by aminoacyl-tRNA synthetases). tRNAs cope with the degeneracy of the genetic code in two manners: having more than one tRNA (with a specific anti-codon) for a particular amino acid; and 'wobble' base-pairing, i.e. permitting non-standard base-pairing at the 3rd anti-codon position. Lineage: Bacteria; Bacillati; Chloroflexota; Anaerolineae; Anaerolineales. The record is from RNAcentral.